GUGAUCAUUUCUGCAGCACAUAUACUAAAAUUAGAAUGAUACAGAGAAGAUUUGCAUGGCCCUUGCACAAAGAUGACAUGUAACUUUGUGAAGUGUUUCAUAUAUUU
Rattus rattus (black rat) is the source of this 107-nucleotide small nuclear RNA. The record is from RefSeq and is a predicted model, not a curated record. Lineage: Eukaryota; Metazoa; Chordata; Mammalia; Rodentia; Muridae.